This 253-nucleotide ribosomal RNA is filed under the name uncultured bacterium. RNAcentral's name for it is "partial 16S ribosomal RNA". It matches the Rfam family "Bacterial small subunit ribosomal RNA", at positions 524 to 776 of the family's 1533-position model. The record is from RNAcentral.
UACAGAGGUCGCGAGCGUUGUUCGGAUUUAUUGGGCGUAAAGGGCGCGUAGGCGGCGGAGCAAGUUGGGUGUGAAAUCCCGGGGCUCAACCUCGGAAUGGCAUUCAAUACUGCUUCGCUCGAGUACUGGAGAGGAGGCUGGAAUUUACGGUGUAGCAGUGAAAUGCGUAGAUAUCGUAAGGAAGGCCGGUGGCGAAAGCGAGCCUCUGGACAGUUACUGACGCUGAUGCACGAAGGCCAGGGGAGCAAACGGG